This 501-nucleotide ribosomal RNA is filed under the name uncultured bacterium. RNAcentral describes it as "partial 16S ribosomal RNA". It matches the Rfam family "Bacterial small subunit ribosomal RNA", at positions 29 to 523 of the family's 1533-position model. The record is from RNAcentral.
AUUGAACGCUGGCGGCAUGCCUUACACAUGCAAGUCGAACGGCAGCCCGGGUGCUUGCACCUGGUGGCGAGUGGCGAACGGGUGAGUAAUACAUCGGAACGUACCUUAUCGUGGGGGAUACCGCAGCGAAAGCUGUGCUAAUACCGCAUACGCCCUGAGGGGGAAAGCGGGGGAUCGCAAGACCUCGCGCGCUUAGAGCGGCCGAUGCCUGAUUAGCUUGUUGGUGGGGUAAAAGCCCACCAAGGCGACGAUCAGUAGCUGGUCUGAGAGGACGAUCAGCCACACUGGGACUGAGACAGGGCGCAGACUCCUACGGGCGGCAGCGGGGGGGAAUUUUGGACAAAGGGGGCAACACUGGUCCAGCCAUGCCGCGUGGGUGAAGAAGGCCUUCGGGUUGUACAGCUCUUUUGUCAGGGAAGAAACACCGGCUCUAACACAGUCUGGGAAUGACGGUACCUGAAGAAUAAGCACCGGCUAACUACGUGCCAGCCGCCGCCGUAA